AAAGUCGUAACAAGGUCUCCGUAGGUGAACCUGCGGAGGGAUCAUUAACACGUAUCCACGUAUCAACCAAACCGCGAACUCGGGACUUCACCGUCCUAAUCUGACCUAUGACAAAAGUUGUGAAGAGAAAUUGUGUGGUGGGUAUUGGCGCUGUUUGGAAAGAGAGAGUAGCUGCAGUAUCUGAAUUUGUGGCAGUGAGCCUUCGGGCAAAGUCUGUCGAAGGAUGAACCCGCGCGAAACCUUUCCAGUCAGCGUCAGUACGAUUUCUCCAGCAUCAGAGGGUAAAGCCUUAAAGCUUUUGUUGUAGGCCUUUUUUUCAUUUUACCACUACGAAAAUACCCUUUUCACCAUUUAACCCCAAUAGCCUGAUCACAUUCAAUGUGGAGAGAAAUCUCUGCUAGAUUGAAUCAAAUAUUCUAACUAAAGCACAACUCUUAGCAACGGAUAUCUUGGUUCUC
This 458-nucleotide unclassified non-coding RNA is filed under the name Ascomycota sp. RNAcentral describes it as "partial contains small subunit ribosomal RNA, internal transcribed spacer 1, and 5.8S ribosomal RNA". The stretch from base 1 to 47 matches the Rfam family "Eukaryotic small subunit ribosomal RNA", at positions 1785 to 1831 of the family's 1831-position model. Lineage: Eukaryota; Fungi; Ascomycota. The record is from RNAcentral.